CCCGGAGAUGGGGACUGAGACAAGGCCCCAGGCCCUACGGGGCGCAGCAGGUGCGAAAAUUCCGCAAUGCGUGCAGGCGUGACGGAGCGACUCCCAGUGCCGAUGGUCUAACAAUCGUCGGCUUUUCUGGAACGUAAAAAGUUUCAGAUAAUAAGGGCCGGGUAAGACUGGUGCCAGCCGCCGCGGUAACACCAGCGGCCCAAGUGGUAGCCGAUUUUAUUGGGCCUAAAGCGUCCGUAGCCGGAUCGGCAAGUCCCUUGUGAAAUCGGACGGCUUAAUCGUUCGGCUUGCAUGGGAAACUGCGGAUCUUGGGGUCGGCAGGCGUCGAGGGUACUCCGGGGGUAGCGGUGAAAUGCUAUAAUCCCUGGGGGACCGCCAGUGGCGAAAGCGCUCGGCGGGGCCGAACCCGACGGUGAGGGACGAAGGCCAGGGGAGCGAACCGGAUUAGAUACCCGGGUAGUCCUGGCUGUAAAGUAUGUGGGCUAGGUGCUGGGCUCUCCUCGAGAGUGCUCGGUGCCGAAGGGAAGCCGUUAAGCCCACCGCCUGGGAAGUACGGCCGCAAGGUUGAAACUUAAAGAAAUUGGCGGGGGAGCACCACAAGGGGUGGAGCC
This 611-nucleotide ribosomal RNA is filed under the name uncultured candidate division MSBL1 archaeon. Its description in RNAcentral is "bacterial SSU rRNA". It matches the Rfam family "Archaeal small subunit ribosomal RNA", at positions 289 to 895 of the family's 1478-position model. Lineage: Archaea; Methanobacteriati; Methanobacteriota. The record is from RNAcentral.